AAACAAAAAACACAUGCCCGUAAUAUUGAACGUGUUGUCCGUGAUCCUGAAGUAAGAAAUCACAUUUUCUGCCCUGAUUCUCUCCCCGCAGAUCGAGCCAAAAAGGGUUGGUGGCCAACACUUAAGCUAGUUUCCAGUCCGGAUUCAUCAGGAAAAUCUUCAAGGAUUCGGUUUUCAUGAAGUCGAUGAUUGUUUCAUUUCAUAAAAGGAUUGAGAUUCUCCUGUAAAAGGCCACAUUCAGAUACACCAAAUAGACUUUGUGAGCG
Molecule: long non-coding RNA, 266 nt
Filed under: Populus trichocarpa (black cottonwood)
Lineage: Eukaryota; Viridiplantae; Streptophyta; Magnoliopsida; Malpighiales; Salicaceae
Description: long non-coding RNA (PTRI_LNC000293)
Source: RNAcentral